RNAcentral lists this transfer RNA (72 nucleotides) under Murexia longicaudata (short-furred dasyure). Its description in RNAcentral is "tRNA-Asn". It matches the Rfam family "tRNA". From Rfam's summary of the family: Transfer RNA (tRNA) molecules are approximately 80 nucleotides in length. Lineage: Eukaryota; Metazoa; Chordata; Mammalia; Dasyuromorphia; Dasyuridae. The record is from RNAcentral.
UAGGUUGAAUCCAAAAGUUUAGGUGCUUAGCUGUUAACUAAGAAUUAGUAGGAUAAAUACCUUCCAACCUAG